This 329-nucleotide ribosomal RNA is filed under the name uncultured bacterium. RNAcentral's name for it is "bacterial SSU rRNA". It matches the Rfam family "Bacterial small subunit ribosomal RNA", at positions 570 to 898 of the family's 1533-position model. The record is from RNAcentral.
CGUAGGCGGUUUGUACAGUUGGGCGUGAAAUUCCUGGGCUUAACCUGGGGGCUGCGUUCAAUACGUGCGGACUUGAGUUUGGAAGAGGGUCGUGGAAUUCCCAGUGUAGAGGUGAAAUUCGUAGAUAUUGGGAAGAACACCGGUGGCGAAGGCGGCGACCUGGUCCUGGACUGACGCUGAGGCGCGAAAGCGUGGGGAGCAAACAGGAUUAGAUACCCUGGUAGUCCACGCUGUAAACGAUGUGCGCUGGAUGUUGGGCGACCUAGUCGCUCAGUGUCGUAGCUAACGCGAUAAGCGCACCGCCUGGGGAGUACGGCCGCAAGGUUGAA